GACGAACGCUGGCGGCGUGCUUAACACAUGCAAGUCGAACGGAAAGAGAUGAAAGAGCUUGCUCUUUUAUUAAUUUCAGUGGCAAACGGGUGAGUAACACGUAAACAACCUGCCUUAGGGAUGGGGAUAACAGACGGAAACGACUGCUAAUACCGAAUACGUUCUAAGCAUCGCAUGAUGCAUAGAAGAAAGGGUGGCCUCUACAAGAAAGCUAUCGCCUUAAGAGGGGUUUGCGACUGAUUAGGUAGUUGGUGAGGUAACGGCUCACCAAGCCGACGAUCAGUAGCCGGUCUGAGAGGAUGAACGGCCACACUGGAACUGAGACACGGUCCAGACUCCUACGGGAGGCAGCAGUGGGGAAUCUUCCGCAAUGGACGAAAGUCUGACGGAGCAACGCCGCGUGAACGAAGAAGGUCUUCGGAUUGUAAAGUUCUGUGAUUCGGGACGAAAGGGUAAAUAGUGAAUAACUAUAGACAUUGACGGUACC
RNAcentral lists this ribosomal RNA (487 nucleotides) under Dialister sp. oral taxon 502. RNAcentral describes it as "bacterial SSU rRNA". It matches the Rfam family "Bacterial small subunit ribosomal RNA", at positions 28 to 479 of the family's 1533-position model. The record is from RNAcentral. Lineage: Bacteria; Bacillati; Bacillota; Negativicutes; Veillonellales; Veillonellaceae.